GACGAACGCUGGCGGCGUGCUUAACACAUGCAAGUCGAACGAAGAGCGACGGAAGCUUGCUUCUAUCAAUCUUAGUGGCGAACGGGUGAGUAACGCGUAAUCAACCUGCCCUUCAGAGGGGGACAACAGUUGGAGACGACUGCUAAUACCGCAUACGAUCUAACCUCGGCAUCGAGGAUAGAUGAAAGGUGGCCUCUACAUGUAAGCUAUCACUGAAGGAGGGGAUUGCGUCUGAUUAGCUAGUUGGAGGGGUAACGGCCCACCAAGGCGAUGAUCAGUAGCCGGUCUGAGAGGAUGAACGGCCACAUUGGGACUGAGACACGGCCCAGACUCCUACGGGAGGCAGCAGUGGGGAAUCUUCCGCAAUGGACGAAAGUCUGACGGAGCAACGCCGCGUGAGUGAUGACGGCCUUCGGGUUGUAAAGCUCUGUUAAUCGGGACGAAAGGCCUUCUUGCGAAUAGGGAGAAGGAUUGACGGUACCGGAAUAGAAAGCCACGGCUAACUACGUG
RNAcentral lists this ribosomal RNA (510 nucleotides) under uncultured bacterium. RNAcentral's name for it is "partial 16S ribosomal RNA". It matches the Rfam family "Bacterial small subunit ribosomal RNA", at positions 28 to 507 of the family's 1533-position model. The record is from RNAcentral.